This 390-nucleotide unclassified non-coding RNA is filed under the name soil metagenome. Its description in RNAcentral is "partial contains 5.8S ribosomal RNA, internal transcribed spacer 2, and large subunit ribosomal RNA". The stretch from base 1 to 122 matches the Rfam family "5.8S ribosomal RNA", at positions 35 to 154 of the family's 154-position model. The record is from RNAcentral.
GAUGAAGAACGUAGCGAAAUGCGAUACUUGGUGUGAAUUGCAGAAUCCCGUGAACCAUCGAGUCUUUGAACGCAAGUUGCGCCCGAAGCCAUUAGGCCGAGGGCACGCCUGCCUGGGCGUCACACGUCGUUGCCCCCCCAUCUACUCCUUCGGGAUUGCGGGGGGCGGAUGAUGGCCUCCCGUGCGCCUCGUCGCGCGGUUGGCCUAAAUGCCAAGUCCUCGGCGACGCACGCCACGACAAUCGGUGGUUGCGAAACCUCGGUUGCCCGUCGUGUGCGGUCGUCGCGCAUCGAGGGCUCGAAAAAAUUGCCGGGCUUCGGCUCGACUUUCAACGCGACCCCAGGUCAGGCGGGGUUACCCGCUGAAUUUAAGCAUAUCAAUAAGCGGAGG